Long non-coding RNA from Populus euphratica (Euphrates poplar), 716 nucleotides. RefSeq lists it as uncharacterized. The transcript is spliced from 2 exons. Lineage: Eukaryota; Viridiplantae; Streptophyta; Magnoliopsida; Malpighiales; Salicaceae. The record is from RefSeq and is a predicted model, not a curated record.
UGUGAGUCAAACUAAAAAAAACCUUUCUUUAUAGAACCCAAUCAAAGAAAGAAAGAAACAAGCCUGAGCAAUUUCUUCUACUUUGUUGGGGCCUUUCAAAGAAUAUCAAAGAAAGAUGCAUCUAUGGCCAACGAUGAGAAUAAGGGACUCCUUCAAGAUUGCUUACUUGAAAAAACUUGAAUGGAAUCUUCAUAGAAUGAACAUUGAAAAGAAGCAGAAGUCUCAAGAAAGUAGCGACAGCAACCUGCAAAGACUCUUGGAUGAUGGUGAUGAUAACAGUACUAACCAACAACAACCAGCAAAAACUUCUAAAGCUGUUUUGAUUUGCAGAGAGAUUAUAAUGCUCGUCACUUGUUGCUACUGUUGUUUCUGUUGUGGAGCUUGUGUCGAUCAAGACAAGGAAUGAUGGUGUUUCGGAAGGGAUUAAGCCACUGAAUCUGCUCCUUAGAGAUAAUAUUUCAGAAGGUGGAACAGGGAUUGUACAGUUUUCUUACUAGUGUAUAUUGCUAGAGGGUUACUGACUUCUAUGCUCAAUAGGAAAAUGAUGUGAUUUGUGAUCAAAUCUUAUGGCAUGCCUUUGAGAGAGUGGAAUAUGCUCAAUGUUUCAAUCCAUCUUCAGAUAAUGCUGUUUGCAAGGGUGGAGUGUCCCUGUUAGCAAAGGGGAAACAUUUGUUAGCAUUAUCCUCUUAUGCAAGGAACAAAGGGAGUUCUGUCCC